Molecule: ribosomal RNA, 468 nt
Filed under: uncultured bacterium
Lineage: Bacteria
Description: partial 16S ribosomal RNA
Rfam family: Bacterial small subunit ribosomal RNA
Source: RNAcentral
GACGAACGCUGGCGGCGUGCUUAACACAUGCCAGUCGAACGGAAAGGCCCUGCGCUUGUGGGGUGCUCGAGUGGCGAACGGGUGAGUAACACGUGAGUAACCUGCCCUUGACUUUGGGAUAACUCCAGGAAACUGGGGCGAAUACCGGAUAGGAGCUCCUGCUGCAUGGUGGGGGUUGGAAAGUUUCGGCGGUUGGGGAUGGACUCGCGGCUUAUCAGCUGGUUGGUGGGGUAGUGGCUUACCAAGGCUUUGACGGGUAGCCGGCCUGAGAGGGUGACCGGCCACAUUGGGACUGAGAUACGGACCAGAAUCCUACGGGAGGCAGCAGUGGGGAAUAUUGCACAAUAGGCGGAAGCCUGAUGCAGCAACGCCGCGUGCGGGAUGACGGCCUUCGGGUUGUAAACCGCUUUCGCCUGUGACGAAGCGUGAGUGACGGUAAUGGGUAAAGAAGCACCGGCUAACUACGUG